UGGGGAAUUUUGGACAAUGGGCGAAAGCCUGAUCCAGCAAUGCCGCGUGUGUGAAGAAGGCCUUCGGGUUGUAAAGCACUUUUGUCCGGAAAGAAAUCCUUGGCUCUAAUACAGUCGGGGGAUGACGGUACCGGAAGAAUAAGCACCGGCUAACUACGUGCCAGCAGCCGCGGUAAUACGUAGGGUGCAAGCGUUAAUCGGAAUUACUGGGCGUAAAGCGUGCGCAGGCGGUUUGCUAAGACCGAUGUGAAAUCCCCGGGCUCAACCUGGGAACUGCAUUGGUGACUGGCAGGCUAGAGUAUGGCAGAGGGGGGUAGAAUUCCACGUGUAGCAGUGAAAUGCGUAGAGAUGUGGAGGAAUACCGAUGGCGAAGGCAGCCCCCUGGGCCAAUACUGACGCUCAUGCACGAAAGCGUGGGGAGCAAACAGGAUUAGAUACCCUGGUAGUCCACGCCCUAAACGAUGUCAACUAGUUGUUGGGGACUUCAUUUUCCUUAGUAACGUAGCUAACGCGUGAAGUUGACCGCUGGGGAGUACGGUCGCAAGAUUAAAACUCAAAGGAAUUGACGGGGUCAUAGCUGUUUCCU
RNAcentral lists this ribosomal RNA (586 nucleotides) under uncultured bacterium. Its description in RNAcentral is "partial 16S ribosomal RNA". It matches the Rfam family "Bacterial small subunit ribosomal RNA", at positions 355 to 1375 of the family's 1533-position model. The record is from RNAcentral.